AAUAAAUAUUGGCAAAAUUACCGAAAGGUAAUGACGCAAAACUAUGGGUCUAAAAACGAAAUUAUGUUAUGACUGCCAGGUUGCAUGU
Molecule: non-coding RNA, 88 nt
Filed under: Halanaerobium saccharolyticum
Lineage: Bacteria; Bacillati; Bacillota; Clostridia; Halanaerobiales; Halanaerobiaceae
Also listed under: 1 other name
Description: c-di-GMP sequence
Rfam family: c-di-GMP-I riboswitch aptamer
About the family: GEMM was predicted in a large-scale screen for bacterial structured RNA regulatory elements. Genes associated with GEMM are involved in a diverse array of functions, including chemotaxis regulation, signal transduction, secretion and chitin.
Source: RNAcentral